GACGGAGGAUGCAAGCGGUAUCCGGAAUCAUUGGGCGUAAAGCGUACGUAGGCGGCUUAUCAAGUCUGGGGUCAAAGACCACAGCUUAACUGUGGAAAGGCCUUGGAAACUAGUGAGCUGGAGUGAGGUAGGGGUUGCGGGAAUUCCCGGUGUAGCGGUGAAAUGCGUAGAUAUCGGGAAGAACACCUGAGGCGAAAGCGCGCGACUGGGCCUUAACUGACGCUGAGGUACGAAAGCUAGGGGAGCGAAUGGG
This 253-nucleotide ribosomal RNA is filed under the name uncultured bacterium. RNAcentral describes it as "partial 16S ribosomal RNA". It matches the Rfam family "Bacterial small subunit ribosomal RNA", at positions 524 to 776 of the family's 1533-position model. The record is from RNAcentral.